UUCUAUUCCUGUGACAAUGCCAUCGGCGGUGGCUUGACAGAAGGCCGUGUGACCUGCAUAAGCUGGCCAGUGCAAACAGUGGGAAAUAAGCUCUGACAAGAUCCGCCGGGGAAAACAUCGACACACUCUCACUGGAGAAGAACCGUCGCCGUGACUCACAGUGACAGGGUGAAGCCGGGAGCACCAUGUGACCUCUGAGGCCCCACCCACUGUUGCUCACUCGUCCUCAGUCACUUCCUGCCUGGCCUCUCCCCCCCGGUGGCGUAAGAGCACGCCGUGUCCACUAAACUCAGUGCUCUCCUCCACCAUCUGGACAGAGACGCACAGAGGGAGGAACUCUCAGACACGGGGUUGUCAAGGAGGAGUGUGUUCAGAGAAAAGCGGUCUGCAAUUUUUAAGUUUUUUGUUUUUAGUUUUUUUCAUUUUUUCGCUGCUAUAGCACAGUGCAAGUCCCUGGCUUGCCUCAUAUCUAUGCAAAGGCACACACA
Clupea harengus (Atlantic herring) is the source of this 488-nucleotide long non-coding RNA. The record is from Ensembl. NCBI's taxonomy places the organism in Eukaryota, Metazoa, Chordata, Actinopteri, Clupeiformes, Clupeidae.